CAGGCCCAUACCCGGCCAUCACCGGCUGUCGGGACCCGGCUGAGGUGGGAUCCCGAGGCCUCUCCAGGCCAAGGGCACACCACCGGCCCAUCUCACCCGCCCCAUAGGGGAGAUGGAGCACGAGCGUAUGUGUUAGGACCUGAAAGAUGGUGAACUAUGCCUGGGCAGGGCGAAGCCAGAGGAAACUCUGGUGGAGGUCCGUAGUGGUCCUGACAUGCAAAUCGGUCGUCCGACCUGGGUAGAGAGGUAAAAGACUAAUCGAACCAUCUAGUAGCUGG
RNAcentral lists this non-coding RNA (278 nucleotides) under Erinaceus europaeus (western European hedgehog). RNAcentral describes it as "Eukaryotic large subunit ribosomal RNA". It matches the Rfam family "Eukaryotic large subunit ribosomal RNA", at positions 703 to 954 of the family's 3401-position model. Lineage: Eukaryota; Metazoa; Chordata; Mammalia; Eulipotyphla; Erinaceidae. The record is from Rfam by way of RNAcentral.